GAAGAUAUUAAGGGCACACGGUGGAUGCCUUGGCAUAGGAAGUCGAUGAAGGACGUGAUAAGCUGCGAUAAGCUGCGGUGAGGUGCACUUAACCGUUAUGAACCGCAGAUUUCCGAAUGGGGGAACCCGGCUGGGGUAAUGCCCAGUCACUCUGUGUUGAACACAUAGACACAGAAGAGGCAACCCGGGGAACUGAAACAUCUAAGUACCCGGAGGAAGAGAAAUCAACCGAGAUUCCGCUAGUAGCGGCGAGCGAACGCGGAAGAGCCUAAACCCAUGCAUGUGUAAGUAUUAGGACGUUGCUGCAUGAGGUGUUGUAGGGUCUGCUAUUCUUCCACCCUAAUGUGUUAGACGUAGUUACAAAGUGUUGUUGUAGCAGAACGGCAUGGAAAGGCCGGCCAGAGGGGGUAAAAGCCCCGUAUGCGAAACAGCAGCACCUGCGAAGCAGAUACCUGAGUAAUGCCGGACACGUGAAACCCGGUAUGAAUCUGGGGAGACCACUCUCCAAGGCUAAAUACUCUCCUAUGACCGAUAGCGAACCAGUACCGUGAGGGAAAGGUGAAAAGUACCCCGAGAGGGGAGUGAAAUAGUACCUGAAACCGUGUGCCUACAAGCAGUCGGAGCACCUUCGUGGUGUGACGGCGUGCCUUUUGUAGAAUGAGCCAGCGAGUUACGGUGUGCAGCGAGGUUAAGUUUUGAAACGAGCCGUAGUGAAAGCGAGCCUUUAAGAUGGCGUUUAGUUGUUUGCCGUAGACGCGAAGCCGGGUGAUCUAUCCAUGGGCAGGCUGAAGCAGAGGUAAGACUCUGUGGAGGGCCGAACCCACUUCGGUUGAAAACGGAGGGGAUGACCUGUGGAUAGGGGUGAAAGGCCAAUCAAACCCGGAGAUAUCUCGUUCUCCCCGAAAUAGCUUUAGGGCUAGCCGAAAUAGCUUUAGGGCUAGCGUCAAUUGUUUACUGCCGGUGGUAGAGCACUGGAUUUUUGCGGGGGCUUCACCGCCUACCAAUAAAAACCAAACUCCGAAUGCCGGUAGUCCAGAGAUUGGCAGUCAGAAUAUGUGGGCUAAGCUGUGUAUUCGAAAGGGAAACAGCCCAGACCGCCCGCUAAGGUCCCUAAGUUCAUGCUAAGUGGCAAAGGAUGUGCGUUUGCCUAGACAACCAGGAUGUUGGCUUAGAAGCAGCCAUGCAUUUAAAGAGUGCGUAACAGCUCACUGGUCAAGUGGACAUGCGCCGACAAUUCACGGGGCUAAGCAUGACACCGAAGCGGCGGACUGAUUUUUCAGUGGUAGGGGAGCUUUCUGUUCUGGGUUGAAGCUGUUGGGUGACCAAUGGUGGACUGUACAGAAGUGAGAAUGCUGGCAUGAGUAACGAGAGUGGAGCGAGAAACUCCACCGCCGUAAGCCUAAGGGUUCCUGGGCAAGGCUAAUCCUCCCAGGGUCAGUCGGGAGCUAAGGCGAGGCCGCAAGGCGUAGUCGAUGCACAACAGGUUGAUAUUCCUGUACCAUCAAAAGACCGUUAUACCGAUGGGGUGACGGAGAAGGGUAGCCGGGCGGGGUUCUGGACGUCCCCGUGAAAGCGUGUAGGGUUCAGUGUAGGGAAAUCCGCACUGUUUAUGCCUGAGACGUGAGACGAAGCAAUUGCGUGAAGUCGGUGAGCCCAUGCUUCCAAGAAAAACCUCUAGGAAGGUCCUAGAUGCCCGUACCAAAACCGACACAGGUAGGCGGGUAGAGCAUACCAAGGCGAUCGGGAGAACUAUGGUUAAGGAACUCGGCAUAAUGACUCCGUAACUUCGGGAGAAGGAGUGCCCUUGCUGGUGAAAGGACUUGCUCCUCUAGCUGGCGGGGGUCGCAGUGAAACGGCCCAAGCGACUGUUUAUCAAAAACACAGGACUCUGCUAAGUCGUAAGACGACGUAUAGGGUCUGACGCCUGCCCGGUGCUGGAAGGUUACGUGGAUGGGUUAGCCUUCGGGCGAAGCUUUGAAACUAAGCCCCAGUAAACGGCGGCCGUAACUAUAACGGUCCUAAGGUAGCGAAAUUCCUUGUCGGGUAAGUUCCGACCUGCACGAAUGGCGUAACGAUUUGGGCGCUGUCUCAACCAUAGACCCGGUGAAAUUGUAUUAUUCGUGAAGAUGCGAAUUACCCACGGAAGGACGGAAAGACCCCGUGAACCUUUACUGCAGCUUGACAUUGAUUGUUGGUUCGUUGUGUAGAGGAUAGGUGGGAGGCUGUGAAGCAGUGACGCCAGUUGCUGUGGAGCCACCCUUGGAAUACCACCCUCAACGUAUUGGCAAUCUAACGUGUGGCCGUGAUCCGGCAUGCGGACCGUGUCAGGUGGGUAGUUUGACUGGGGCGGUCGCCUCCUAAAAUGUAACGGAGGCGUGCGUAAGGUCCGCUCAGAACGGUUGGCAAUCGUUCGUAGAGCACAAGAGUAUAAGCGGGCUUGACUGCGAGACCUACAAGUCGAGCAGAUGGGAAACCAGGUUCUAGUGAUCCGGCGGCUCAGAGUGGAAUGGCCGUCGCUCAACGGAUAAAAGGUACUCCGGGGAUAACAGGCUGAUCUUGCCCAAGAGUCCACAUCGACGGCAAGGUUUGGCACCUCGAUGUCGGCUCAAGUCGGUCCCAAGGGUAUGGCUGUUCGCCAUUUAAAGCGGUACGCGAGCUGGGUUCAGAACGUCGUGAGACAGUUCGGUCCCUAUCCUCCGCGGGCGUAAGAGAAUUGAGGAGAGCUGCCCCUAGUACGAGAGGACCGGGGUGGACGUACCUCUGGUGUCGCGGUUGUUGACCAACAGCAUCGCCGCUUAGCUACGUACGGAACGGAUAACCGCUGAAAGCAUCUAAGUGGGAAGCCGACUCCAAGAUGAGUUCUCUUUUUGGUAAGACCCCUUGUAGACUACGAGGUUGAUAGGCUAUAACUGUAAGCGUUGUGAGGCGUUUAGGUGAGUAGUACUAAUUGGUCGAGCUCUU
This 2961-nucleotide ribosomal RNA is filed under the name bovine gut metagenome. RNAcentral's name for it is "Bacterial large subunit ribosomal RNA". It matches the Rfam family "Bacterial large subunit ribosomal RNA". The record is from RNAcentral.